Molecule: long non-coding RNA, 364 nt
Filed under: Gossypium barbadense (sea-island cotton)
Lineage: Eukaryota; Viridiplantae; Streptophyta; Magnoliopsida; Malvales; Malvaceae
Description: long non-coding RNA (GBAR_LNC000041)
Source: RNAcentral
GAGGAUAUGGGAACAGAAUACCUUGUCCGGCCUGUAGUACCAGCUGAAGAUGAAGAAGACGCUAGUGAUUUUGAACCAGAAGAAAAUGGUGAAGAGGAAGAAGAAGAAGAUGAUGAAGACGAUGGAGAAGGUAGUGGAAAGAUCGAAGCUCCGCCAAAGAGGAAGAGAACAGACAGAGAUGAUUCCGAUGACAACGAUGAUGACGGCGGAGACGAUGAUGAGAGGCCUUCAAAGCGAUAGGGCUAAAAGAACACCACCGAAUAGCUUUUGCCAUGACAAAGGUCAAAUCUCUCUCCCUCCCUUUCUCUCUUUUAAAAAACCCAUUUGGCUUUCUGUUUGGUGUGUUAGAAAAAACAAAAAAAAA